Molecule: ribosomal RNA, 252 nt
Filed under: Veillonella seminalis
Lineage: Bacteria; Bacillati; Bacillota; Negativicutes; Veillonellales; Veillonellaceae
Also listed under: 1 other name
Description: partial 16S ribosomal RNA
Rfam family: Bacterial small subunit ribosomal RNA
Source: RNAcentral
UACGUAGGUGGCAAGCGUUGUCCGGAAUUAUUGGGCGUAAAGCGCGCGCAGGCGGUUUCAUAAGUCUGUCUUAAAAGUGCGGGGCUUAACCCCGUGAGGGGAUGGAAACUAUGGAACUGGAGUAUCGGAGAGGAAAGCGGAAUUCCUAGUGUAGCGGUGAAAUGCGUAGAUAUUAGGAAGAACACCAGUGGCGAAGGCGGCUUUCUGGACGACAACUGACGCUGAGGCGCGAAAGCCAGGGGAGCGAACGGG